GAAAAGGUGAGGCAGCUAGUACCAACACUUUCACUCCCUGCCUUCAUUCUCGUCUCUUCACAUCAAAAUAAAAGCAAUGAAGUGUAGUAUAAGAUUUGAUAAUACAAAAUACAGAGUAGGAAUAUUAGUUUCAGUAUAGCUCAUUAUGUAGUAACAUCAGUACUCAAACAGUACUCAUAAACUAUAAGGACACAAACACAAUCAAAUAUGAGCCAUAAAUUUAGUUUGAAAGAAUAACUACAUGAGCAAGCUUAUUUAUAAACUUACAGGUAUGUUAGAGUGGUAAUUCUUUCUCUAUAGGAAUUUCCCCUGACAAAAAAUGCCUUAAAUUUAAACAAGUUAGUAGUGAGUUCAAUAUAGAUGACAAGUUGAAAUCAAUCACACCAAAUCCUACUCCUAUAGAGAUAAAGACAGUCACAGACCCGUCCAAAGAUAGGAAGACAUACAUGAAUUCAUCCUAUAGGAUAAAAGGAUCUUUCAUUUAGAAUUUUGAAGACUUCCUCCUCAUUUGUAGCUUGACACUGAUUCAGUUAUCAAGUUAGCAACAAAACAAUUAAUAAUUAAAUUGUGCCCUCUUGAAAUAUGUACCAAAAUAUUUUAAAGUUGUAGGUGAGAAGAAUGUAAGGCUAAGAUCCAGAUACUAACCAAGUUAGAAGCAGAUUAUUCCUUUGGUAUAAUCAGAGUAGUUUCAUAGGCUGAGUCAUAU
RNAcentral lists this long non-coding RNA (706 nucleotides) under Vigna radiata. Its description in RNAcentral is "long non-coding RNA (VRAD_LNC017580)". The record is from RNAcentral. Lineage: Eukaryota; Viridiplantae; Streptophyta; Magnoliopsida; Fabales; Fabaceae.